ACUAAGCGUACACGGUGGAUGCCCUGGCAGUCAGAGGCGAUGAAGGACGUGCUAAUCUGCGAAAAGCGUCGGUAAGGUGAUAUGAACCGUUAUAACCGGCGAUGUCCGAAUGGGGAAACCCAGUGCAAUUCGUUGCACUAUCGUUAACUGAAUACAUAGGUUAACGAGGCGAACCGGGGGAACUGAAACAUCUAAGUACCCCGAGGAAAAGAAAUCAACCGAGAUUCCCCCAGUAGCGGCGAGCGAACGGGGAGCAGCCCAGAGUCUGAAUCAGCUUGUGUGUUAGUGGAACGGUCUGGAAAGUCCGACGGUACAGGGUGAUAGUCCCGUACACCAAAAUGCACAGGUUGUGAACUCGAAGAGUAGGGCGGGACACGUGGUAUCCUGUCUGAAUAUGGGGGGACCAUCCUCCAAGGCUAAAUACUCCUGACUGACCGAUAGUGAACCAGUACCGUGAGGGAAAGGCGAAAAGAACCCCGGCGAGGGGAGUGAAAAAGAACCUGAAACCGUGUACGUACAAGCAGUGGGAGCACCUUCGGGUGUGACUGCGUACCUUUUGUAUAAUGGGUCAGCGACUUAUAUUCUGUAGCAAGGUUAACCGUAUAGGGGAGCCGCAGGGAAACCGAGUCUUAACUGGGCGUUAAGUUGCAGGGUAUAGACCCGAAACCCGGUGAUCUAGCCAUGGGCAGGUUGAAGGUUGGGUAACACUAACUGGAGGACCGAACCGACUAAUGUUGAAAAAUUAGCGGAUGACUUGUGGCUGGGGGUGAAAGGCCAAUCAAACCGGGAGAUAGCUGGUUCUCCCCGAAAGCUAUUUAGGUAGCGCCUCGUGAACUCAUCUUCGGGGGUAGAGCACUGUUUCGGCUAGGGGGUCAUCCCGACUUACCAACCCGAUGCAAACUACGAAUACCGAAGAAUGUUAUCACGGGAGACACACGGCGGGUGCUAACGUCCGUCGUGAAGAGGGAAACAACCCAGACCGCCAGCUAAGGUCCCAAAGUCAUGGUUAAGUGGGAAACGAUGUGGGAAGGCACAGACAGCCAGGAUGUUGGCUUAGAAGCAGCCAUCAUUUAAAGAAAGCGUAAUAGCUCACUGGUCGAGUCGGCCUGCGCGGAAGAUGUAACGGGGCUAAACCAUGCACCGAAGCUGCGGCAGCGACACUAUGUGUUGUUGGGUAGGGGAGCGUUCUGUAAGCCUGCGAAGGUGUGCUGUGAGGCAUGCUGGAGGUAUCAGAAGUGCGAAUGCUGACAUAAGUAACGAUAAAGCGGGUGAAAAGCCCGCUCGCCGGAAGACCAAGGGUUCCUGUCCAACGUUAAUCGGGGCAGGGUGAGUCGACCCCUAAGGCGAGGCCGAAAGGCGUAGUCGAUGGGAAACAGGUUAAUAUUCCUGUACUUGGUGUUACUGCGAAGGGGGGACGGAGAAGGCUAUGUUAGCCGGGCGACGGUUGUCCCGGUUUAAGCAUGUAGGCUGGUUAUCCAGGCAAAUCCGGAUAAUCAAGGCUGAGGUGUGAUGACGAGGCACUACGGUGCUGAAGUAACAAAUGCCCUGCUUCCAGGAAAAGCCUCUAAGCAUCAGGUAACAUCAAAUCGUACCCCAAACCGACACAGGUGGUCAGGUAGAGAAUACCAAGGCGCUUGAGAGAACUCGGGUGAAGGAACUAGGCAAAAUGGUGCCGUAACUUCGGGAGAAGGCACGCUGGUGUGUAGGUGAAGUCCCUGCGGAUGGAGCUGAGACCAGUCGAAGAUACCAGCUGGCUGCAACUGUUUAUUAAAAACACAGCACUGUGCAAACACGAAAGUGGACGUAUACGGUGUGACGCCUGCCCGGUGCCGGAAGGUUAAUUGAUGGGGUUAUCCGUAAGGAGAAGCUCUUGAUCGAAGCCCCGGUAAACGGCGGCCGUAACUAUAACGGUCCUAAGGUAGCGAAAUUCCUUGUCGGGUAAGUUCCGACCUGCACGAAUGGCGUAAUGAUGGCCAGGCUGUCUCCACCCGAGACUCAGUGAAAUUGAACUCGCUGUGAAGAUGCAGUGUACCCGCGGCAAGACGGAAAGACCCCGUGAACCUUUACUAUAGCUUGACACUGAACAUUGAGCCUUGAUGUGUAGGAUAGGUGGGAGGCUUUGAAGCGUGGACGCCAGUCUGCGUGGAGCCAACCUUGAAAUACCACCCUUUAAUGUUUGAUGUUCUAACGUUGGCCCCUGACCGGGGUUGCGGACAGUGUCUGGUGGGUAGUUUGACUGGGGCGGUCUCCUCCCAAAGCGUAACGGAGGAGCACGAAGGUUAGCUAAUCCUGGUCGGACAUCAGGAGGUUAGUGCAAUGGCAUAAGCUAGCUUGACUGCGAGCGUGACGGCGCGAGCAGGUGCGAAAGCAGGUCAUAGUGAUCCGGUGGUUCUGAAUGGAAGGGCCAUCGCUCAACGGAUAAAAGGUACUCCGGGGAUAACAGGCUGAUACCGCCCAAGAGUUCAUAUCGACGGCGGUGUUUGGCACCUCGAUGUCGGCUCAUCACAUCCUGGGGCUGAAGUAGGUCCCAAGGGUAUGGCUGUUCGCCAUUUAAAGUGGUACGCGAGCUGGGUUUAGAACGUCGUGAGACAGUUCGGUCCCUAUCUGCCGUGGGCGCUGGAGAAUUGAGGGGGGCUGCUCCUAGUACGAGAGGACCGGAGUGGACGCAUCACUGGUGUUCGGGUUGUCAUGCCAAUGGCACUGCCCGGUAGCUAAAUGCGGAAGAGAUAAGUGCUGAAAGCAUCUAAGCACGAAACUUGCCCCGAGAUGAGUUCUCCCUGAGACUUUAAGUCUCCUGAAGGAACGUUGAAGACGACGACGUUGAUAGGCCGGGUGUGUAAGCGCAGCGAUGCGUUGAGCUAACCGGUACUAAUGAACCGUGAGGCUUAACC
This 2891-nucleotide ribosomal RNA is filed under the name Klebsiella pneumoniae. Its description in RNAcentral is "bacterial LSU rRNA". It matches the Rfam family "Bacterial large subunit ribosomal RNA". The record is from RNAcentral. Lineage: Bacteria; Pseudomonadati; Pseudomonadota; Gammaproteobacteria; Enterobacterales; Enterobacteriaceae.